RNAcentral lists this ribosomal RNA (377 nucleotides) under uncultured bacterium. RNAcentral describes it as "bacterial SSU rRNA". It matches the Rfam family "Bacterial small subunit ribosomal RNA", at positions 28 to 405 of the family's 1533-position model. The record is from RNAcentral.
GACGAACGCUGGCGGCGUACUUAACACAUGCAAGUCGAGCGGUAAGGCCCUUUCGGGGGUACGACGAGCGGCGAACGGGUGAGUAACACGUGGGUGACCUGCCCUCAGCUCUGGGAUAAGCCUGGGAAACCGGGUCUAAUACUGGAUAUGACUCCAUGACGCAUGUUGUGGGGUGGAAAGCCUUGUGCGGCUGAGGAUGGGCCCGCGGCCUAUCAGCUUGUUGGUGGGGUGAUGGCCUACCAAGGCGACGACGGGUAGCCGGCCUGAGAGGGCGACCGGCCACACUGGGACUGAGACACGGCCCAGACUCCUACGGGAGGCAGCAGUGGGGAAUCUUGCGCAAUGGGCGAAAGCCUGACGCAGCGACGCCGCGUGGA